Molecule: ribosomal RNA, 331 nt
Filed under: uncultured bacterium
Lineage: Bacteria
Description: bacterial SSU rRNA
Rfam family: Bacterial small subunit ribosomal RNA
Source: RNAcentral
CGCGUAGGCGGGAUGGCAAGUCGGUCGUGAAAUCCUUCGGCUCAACCGAAGAACGUCGAUCGAUACUGCUGUUCUUGAGGGUUGCAGAGGAGACUGGAAUUCCCGGUGUAGCGGUGAAAUGUGUAGAGAUCGGGAGGAACACCGGUGGCGAAGGCGGGUCUCUGGGCAACUCCUGACGCUGAGGCGCGAAAGCGUGGGGAGCAAACGGGAUUAGAUACCCCGGUAGUCCACGCUGUAAACGAUGACGACUAGGUGUGGGGGGGUUCAGUCCUUCCGUGCCGCAGCUAACGCAUUAAGUCGUCCGCCUGGGGAGUACGGCCGCAAGGUUGAA